This 165-nucleotide ribosomal RNA is filed under the name Goodyera schlechtendaliana. RNAcentral's name for it is "5.8S ribosomal RNA". It matches the Rfam family "5.8S ribosomal RNA". Rfam says of the family: 5.8S ribosomal RNA (5.8S rRNA) is a component of the large subunit of the eukaryotic ribosome. It is transcribed by RNA polymerase I as part of the 45S precursor that also contains 18S and 28S rRNA. RNAcentral also lists the same sequence under 6 other names. The record is from RNAcentral. Lineage: Eukaryota; Viridiplantae; Streptophyta; Magnoliopsida; Asparagales; Orchidaceae.
UAUGACUCUCGGCAAUGGAUAUCUUGGCUCUUGCAUCGAUGAAGAGCGCAGCGAAAUGCGAUACGUGGUGUGAAUUGCAGAAUCCCGUGAACCAUCGAGUUUUUGAACGCAAGUUGCGCCCGAGGCCAAUUGGCUAAGGGCACGUCCGCCUGGGCGUCAAGCAUU